This 253-nucleotide ribosomal RNA is filed under the name uncultured bacterium. RNAcentral's name for it is "partial 16S ribosomal RNA". It matches the Rfam family "Bacterial small subunit ribosomal RNA", at positions 524 to 776 of the family's 1533-position model. The record is from RNAcentral.
UACGUAGGGUGCGAGCGUUAAUCGGAAUUACUGGGCGUAAAGCGUGCGUAGGCGGUUCGUUAAGUUCGUUGUGAAAGCCCCGGGCUCAACCUGGGAACUGCAAUGGAAACUGGCGGGCUUGAGUGUGGCAGAGGGGGGUGGAAUUCCGCGUGUAGCAGUGGAAUGCGUAGAGAUCCGGAAGAACACCGGUGGCGAAGGCGGUUAGCUGGGCAGUAACUGACGCUGAGGAGCGAAAGCGUGGGGAGCGAACAGG